This 251-nucleotide ribosomal RNA is filed under the name uncultured bacterium. RNAcentral describes it as "partial 16S ribosomal RNA". It matches the Rfam family "Bacterial small subunit ribosomal RNA", at positions 525 to 775 of the family's 1533-position model. The record is from RNAcentral.
ACGUAGGUCACAAGCGUUGUCCGGAAUUACUGGGUGUAAAGGGAGCGCAGGCGGGAAGACAAGUUGGAAGUGAAAUCCAUGUGCUCAACCCAUGAACUGCUUUCAAAACUGUUUUUCUUGAGUAGUGCAGAGGUAGGCGGAAUUCCCGGUGUAGCGGUGGAAUGCGUAGAUAUCGGGAGGAACACCAGUGGCGAAGGCGGCCUACUGGGCACCAACUGACGCUGAGGCUCGAAAGUGUGGGUAGCAAACAG